GCAGAUGUAGCUCAGUGGUAGAGCGGGACGUUGCCAACGUCCAGGCCGCGAGUCCGAUCCUCGCCAUCUGCUCCA
Molecule: transfer RNA, 75 nt
Filed under: Burkholderiaceae bacterium
Lineage: Bacteria; Pseudomonadati; Pseudomonadota; Betaproteobacteria; Burkholderiales; Burkholderiaceae
Description: tRNA-Gly
Rfam family: tRNA
About the family: Transfer RNA (tRNA) molecules are approximately 80 nucleotides in length. Their secondary structure includes four short double-helical elements and three loops (D, anti-codon, and T loops). Further hydrogen bonds mediate the characteristic L-shaped molecular structure. tRNAs have two regions of fundamental functional importance: the anti-codon, which is responsible for specific mRNA codon recognition, and the 3' end, to which the tRNAs corresponding amino acid is attached (by aminoacyl-tRNA synthetases). tRNAs cope with the degeneracy of the genetic code in two manners: having more than one tRNA (with a specific anti-codon) for a particular amino acid; and 'wobble' base-pairing, i.e. permitting non-standard base-pairing at the 3rd anti-codon position.
Source: RNAcentral